AACUAGUCAGCGAUGUUUGUCCUUAACAAGACUUAAGUAGCCUUAUGAUGGAUAUAUCACCGUUCUUCAAAGACCACAUUGAGUCGUUAACCGGGAAACAAACAAACAGCCUUUAUCAAGGCUUCCAGCCUAUUUACAGGCAUCCCACCAGCCUUUUUAAAGAUACCAUCAUUCUUUUUAAAAACUACACAAGUGUUAUUUAAUAUGUACCGUGGAAACAACCAGAGAAUUGGAGCUGGCGCUUCACUUCUCGGGACUCCUCCCACCGGAUACAAGGUGAACAUGGCCCUUUCUCGUGCACAGGAUGAAGUGCACUACCUGAAAAGGAAUGUGAGUGAACUCACUGCUCACACUGAAACUGUGAAAUACAGUUUGACCAACCUGUUAAAAGGCAAAGAUCUUGCCUAUGAGCAGAUGGUUGCCAAGGACAGAAAGAAGUUGUCAGACCUCAUCAGAGAGAACGAGAGUUUGUCUCUGAAGCUCACAGAGACCACCGAACAACUCGUUGUCAAAUAUGCUGAACUCACGGUCCAGCAGCAGGCCAACAACCAACAGUUGAACACAAACUGCUAAAGAGCAAGACAGAGGCUCUGGCUGAGGUUAUCGGGGAAAACAAGAGUUUGUCUCUGAAGCUCUUUAAAUACGCCGAACAACUCUCUGCUGAACUCAAGGUCAACAACGAGACCUGGCAGCAGAAGUAUGACGAUCUGGAGGAAAAGACAUUCAAGGAACUGGAUGACCAACAACAGUCCAUGGAGUCUAAAGUAACAGGGUUACUCUCCACCAACAUUUCUCUUCAAGAGGAGCUGCACAAGCAGCAGUCCAACAACCACCAGUUGGAAGAAGAACACAAACUGCUAAAGAUCAAGACAGAGGCUCUGGAUGAGACUAUCAGGCAGAACGAGGGUUUAUCUCUGAAGCUCACAGAGACAACAAAAAAACUUUCUGUCAAAAGUGCUGAACUCAGGGUCAACAACGAGACCUGGCAGCAGUUGGAAGCAGAACACAAACUGCUGAAGACCCAGAGGGAUUCUCUGGCUGCUUUAAAAAAGAGCCAAGAGGAGACCCACCACGAGACGGUCACGAGCAGUGGUUUCACUGACUUGUGCCUGAUCUCUAAGAUCCAACAAACGGAGAAUACCAUCCCCAAAGAACAUCGGAUCCUUAUCACGAGGAUCCAAGAAUUAGAGGAUGACAAAACAGUCCUUGAAAACAUCUGCCUCGACUUAAAAAAAGAAAUUUUUGGGAGACGGAUGCAAGACCGGCAGACGGAGAUGGACAAAAUGAGGCGCAAGAUGCAGGACAAGGAGACAAAGAAAUAGGAGAGAGAAGAGAGGAAAAAGGAGACCAUCCAGGACGUCAACAUCAACGUGCCUGAGACUGGACACCACCUCCCAUCUCUAUUUUAAUUUGUCAAAGAAAGCAGACCCCUGGAACUCUCUCCAUGUCAUUUCCUUGUCCAUGCCCUGGUCUUUGCAUAGUGAAAAGAUUUUAGUGGGGCAGAAAAUGUACUUCCCUGUAACUCCAGGGAACCCAGUGUGAAUGUGACGACUGUUUGGGCCCUGCUUCAGUUCCGUCUUACAGAACCGACACUUGCGACCAGAGUUUCAGCCUCUCUUGCAGUUUUUCUGGACUGACGUUUAAAGAGGAACUGGUGUUCAACAAUUUGCUGAGGUGCUUUACAUAUUGUACGAUAUGUAGUUUUGCUGUCGGGUGGAGCAUGCUGUUGGGGUUUGUGCAGGAGUUGUGAACUAGAGCAGCGUAGUCCUGGUCCACAAGCUUCAGCAUGUCUUUCUGCUCACGGUGUUUGUUGAGCAGCUGGUCGAUAACUGCCAGCGACGGCGGACGUGAAGUUUCUACAGGAACAAAAGAUGAAGUACAGUAAGUCAUUCUGACCUAUAGAAUCGAAUACUUGUAUAAUAAAUAUAAACUUUCAUUAAAAGCUCAUGAAAGACUGGUAUUUGUAUGUAAAUGUUUAUCCAAUAACACCCUAAAUAUAUUUUCACAUCUUGUAAAAAAAAUGGAAAAGUGACAAAUGUAUUACGCUAUCCAUAAAAAUAAAGUUAGCUAGCGCUGAUGUUGUCAAUCACUAUGUCCGUGUGUGAGAUGUUUACCUGGCUCUCCCCGAGGCCCUGGGGUUGUUCUGGGACUCACAUCUGGUUUCACAGCAGAAUCGGCAGGGGGGCAUGGAGAAAACUGGAACAACCUUGAUGGUGCCAGUGAGGAUGACAGAGGAACCUCCGACUGCGUAGCGAGUGGAUCACUCUGAGGAGGUGGAUUCGGGGCCUGGGUGUGAUCUGUCUUGCUGUUGUUCUUGUCCCAGUCCAGAGGAACUGAGCAAAGGAACUGUACAGGACGUGAUGCUCCGACACACACUCACGGAGGAACUGCCUCAUGCGGUGAAACAAGUCUAGCUUGAUAUAAAUGUUUGCAUUUGUGUGAUCUACAUCUAUAUGUGAUCUUGAAGCACAUGUGUUUCGGAGGUUACCAGAAGUGACAUCGGCAAUAAUUGCAUCUGUUGUUCUCCAAGAAUCCCAUUUCAGAUGCUCUCCUGCAAACGACUCUGCCCCCUUGAGUGCAACACAGCAAUCCCUGAAAGAAAAAUAAAAGGAAAGCCAUCAAUGUGACAGCAGUCAUAUAGACCACCAUGUGUGCUCCAGUGUAUAUGGUCAUCAAAAUAAAAUUGAAUGCAAA
Gasterosteus aculeatus aculeatus (three-spined stickleback) is the source of this 2694-nucleotide long non-coding RNA. The record is from Ensembl. Lineage: Eukaryota; Metazoa; Chordata; Actinopteri; Perciformes; Gasterosteidae.